UCUUAUUAGCUCAAUUGGUAGAGCAUAAUACUCCUAAUAUUAGGAUCCAAGUUCAAGUCUUGGAUAAGAGAU
This 72-nucleotide transfer RNA is filed under the name Usnea ceratina. Its description in RNAcentral is "tRNA-Arg". It matches the Rfam family "tRNA". From Rfam's summary of the family: Transfer RNA (tRNA) molecules are approximately 80 nucleotides in length. Their secondary structure includes four short double-helical elements and three loops (D, anti-codon, and T loops). Further hydrogen bonds mediate the characteristic L-shaped molecular structure. tRNAs have two regions of fundamental functional importance: the anti-codon, which is responsible for specific mRNA codon recognition, and the 3' end, to which the tRNAs corresponding amino acid is attached (by aminoacyl-tRNA synthetases). tRNAs cope with the degeneracy of the genetic code in two manners: having more than one tRNA (with a specific anti-codon) for a particular amino acid; and 'wobble' base-pairing, i.e. permitting non-standard base-pairing at the 3rd anti-codon position. The record is from RNAcentral. Lineage: Eukaryota; Fungi; Ascomycota; Lecanoromycetes; Lecanorales; Parmeliaceae.